RNAcentral lists this long non-coding RNA (747 nucleotides) under Homo sapiens (human). RNAcentral's name for it is "HSALNT0313981". The stretch from base 426 to 509 matches the Rfam family "mir-1244 microRNA precursor family". Lineage: Eukaryota; Metazoa; Chordata; Mammalia; Primates; Hominidae. The record is from RNAcentral.
AAAAAAAAAAAAAAAAAAAGGAGGGGCCACCAUGACCUAUUCACCCUCCACUUCCCGUCUCAGAAUCUAAACGUGGUCAUCGAGUAGAGAGGCUCCACGCGCAGGUGACACGCGCUGUCCACCACUCGACCCAAACCAUGAGAAUUUGCAACAGGGGAGGAAAAAAGAAUCAAAACUUCCAAGGCCCUGCUUUUUUUCUUAAAAGUACUUUAAAAAGGAAAUUUGUUUGUAUUUUUUAUUUACAUUUUAUAUUUUUGUACAUAUAGUUAGGGUCAGCCAUUUUUAAUGAUCUCGGAUGACCAAACCAGCCUUCAGAGUGUUCUCUGUCCUACUUCUGACUUUACUUGUGGUGAGACCAUGUUCACUAUAAUCUCAAAGGAGAAAUAAACCUUGUUAAAAAAGCAAAAACGACAACAGAAAAACAAUCUUAUUCUGAGCAUUCCAGUAACUUUUUUGUGUAUGUACUUAGCUGUACUACAAGUAGUUGGUUUGUAUGAGAUGGUUAAAAAGGCCAAAGAUAAAAGGUUUCUUUUUUUUCCUUUUUUGUCUAUGAAGUUGCUGUUAUUUAUUUAUUUAUUUAUUUUGGCCUGUUUGAUGCAUGUGUGAAACAAUGUUGUCCAACAAUAAACAGGAAUUUUGUUUUGCUGAGUUGUUCUAAAAACAAACAAACAAAAAAAAACAAAACAUCUUUCUCAUGAAGCACAAAAGGGACAAUACGGAGGAGACCCACCCCCCAACCCAAAAGAA